RNAcentral lists this ribosomal RNA (670 nucleotides) under uncultured archaeon. RNAcentral's name for it is "bacterial SSU rRNA". It matches the Rfam family "Archaeal small subunit ribosomal RNA", at positions 54 to 708 of the family's 1478-position model. The record is from RNAcentral.
CGUAGUUGAAUGGGUAUUCCUAAAAAUCCCAUANCAAACUGCUCAGUAACACAUGAUCAACUUGCCCUAUGGAGGACAAUAACCUCGGGAAACUGAGGAUAAUAGUCCAUAGUUGAUUAGGCUUGGAAAAGUUCUUCAAUGAAUGGAAUAAGAAAAAUGGUUCUUAUUUGCCAUAGGAUAGGAUCGUGCUCGAUUAUGGUUGUUGGUGAGGUAAAGGCUCACCAAGCCGAUAAUCGAUAGGGGCCGUGAGAGCGGUUGCCCCGAGAUGGGUACGGAGAUAACGACCCAGGCCUUACGAGGCGCAGCAGGCGCGAAACCUCAUCACUACACGAAAGUGUGAAUGGGUUACCCAAAGUGUCCUUAUUGGACUGUGGUAGGUGAGUAAUGUUCCCUACUAGAAAGGAGAGGGCAAGGCUGGUGCCAGCCGCCGCGGUAAAACCAGCUCUUCAAGUGGUCGGGAUAAUUAUUGGGCUUAAAGUGUCCGUAGCCGGUAUGGUAAGUUCCUGGUAAAAUCGGGUAGCUUAACUAUCUGUGUGCUAGGAAUACUGCUAUACUAUAGGGCGGGAGAGGUCUGAGCUACUACGGGGGUAGGGGUGAAAUCUUAUAAUCCUCGUAGGACCACCGGUGGCGAAGGCGUCAGACUGGAACGCGCCUGACGGUGAGGGACGAA